UGUCAGCAAAUAGCCGAGUUGAAGGCUAAGAACUCACUUCGAACGCAUUUUUGCGACUCUCCGAUCGACUGACCGCCACCCAUGUGUACAUGAGUGUUUGUGAGAUCACUGCGUCUCUCUGACAGCUUGUGUUUGGCGAUUUUAUGUGAGAUUUUUGGGGUUAAACGGACAGUAUUUCUCGAGUUAUGCUAAUAUUCGCUUCAUCGUUCCGGUCAGCAUUUAUUUAUUCAUGACAUGUUUUGGGGAAGGUUGCAGGUGGAGUGGUCUCUUUCUCCCUGUAGUCCAGGUGUGACGUCAUUUUGCUGACCGAGGUCCUCCACCUUCGCCCUCAUCAUCUUCUAGUCACCACCAUUAGCUGCUCUCAGUGUGAGUUGGACAGUGCAGAAGGACGAGCAGGUCCCUCAGCCAACGUUGCUCCUCAGAUGCCGACUGACUCUCACAAACUCCACUUGAGCAGCGACACAGAGCCCAAGGCCACGAUGGCGGUUUCAUGACUGGUGAUCAACGUGAGAUCAGUCACUCACGCUGAGUCGCACGGUGGAGACAGAGGAGGCGCUGCAUGGCACAAGACGGCGUCUGAAGCUCAGGUGAUGUUAGCUCGUCCUUCAAACCUACACACUCAAGGCCAGCAAACGCUUCAGCUGUGAUUCAUGAUUCAAUUCAGUUUGAUUUCAAAGUGCAGUGUAAUGUUGCUCAUGUGAAAGAGUGGUUCUCUGGUCCACAGUGUGGGGUCUAGAAACAGUUACUCAGGCGUACGAGGAAGGAGAAACUGAUCCAAGAG
This is a long non-coding RNA of Synchiropus splendidus (mandarinfish), 781 nucleotides long. RefSeq lists it as uncharacterized. The record is from RefSeq and is a predicted model, not a curated record. The transcript is spliced from 3 exons. NCBI's taxonomy places the organism in Eukaryota, Metazoa, Chordata, Actinopteri, Syngnathiformes, Callionymidae.